This is a non-coding RNA of Arachis ipaensis, 269 nucleotides long. NCBI's taxonomy places the organism in Eukaryota, Viridiplantae, Streptophyta, Magnoliopsida, Fabales, Fabaceae. The record is from RefSeq and is a predicted model, not a curated record.
CGGCAAAAUUAAGCGUGAGGGAGGCUAUGGAAUGGUCUAACGGUAGAAGGAUCGUGCUCAAGUUCAACAAUGAAAAGCAACCAAUUGGAGACGAAGCUAGAUUGUUGAGUGGCGUGCUUGGUCUGCUGGGAUCUAACUAUGAAAAAUUUUCUAUCUGUAAGGAAAGUUGGCAUAAGAUUACCACUAAAGACAAGGUUUAUAACGAAUGUGUUAAGCAAAUUUUCCACUUUGAUGAAGAUAGUGAAGGAACUAUCAAGAAAAAUAUUUUG